RNAcentral lists this ribosomal RNA (480 nucleotides) under uncultured bacterium. RNAcentral describes it as "partial 16S ribosomal RNA". It matches the Rfam family "Bacterial small subunit ribosomal RNA", at positions 29 to 507 of the family's 1533-position model. The record is from RNAcentral.
ACGCACGUUGGCGGCGUGCUUAAUACCUGCAAGUCCACUGAAGCAGUGGUAGCAAUAUCGCUGUGGAGGUGGCGCACGGGUGAGUAACACGUAGGUAAUCUGCCUUCAGGUCUGGCAUAACUCCGGGAAACCGGGGCUAAUAGCAGAUGAUGCAGCGGCUCGACAUCGAGACAGUUGUUAAAGCUAUGGCGCCUGAAGAUGAGCCUGCGUCUGAUUAGCUAGUUGGCGGGGUAACGGCCCACCAAGGCAACGAUCAGUAGCUGGUCUGAGAGGAUGAUCAGCCACACUGGAACUGAGACACGGUCCAGACUCCUACGGGAGGCAGCAGUAAGGAAUAUUGCUCAAUGGGAGAAAUCCUGAAGCAGCAACGCCGCGUGAGGGACGAAGGGCUUUUGCUUGUAAACCUCUGUAGUGAGAGAAAAAAAUCCCAAUCUUUGGGACAUGAUGGUAGCUCAAAAGUAAGCCCCGGCUAACUACGUG